GCUUACUUUUGAUUCGUUAGCGGCGGACGGGUGAGUAACACGUGGGCAACCUGCCCUGUAGACGGGGAUAACACCGAGAAAUCGGUGCUAAUACCGGAUAACACGAAAUGUCGCAUGACGUUUCGUUGAAAGACGGCGCAAGCUGUCGCUACAGGAUGGGCCCGCGGCACAUUAGCUAGUUGGUGAGGUAACGGCUCACCAAGGCGACGAUGCGUAGCCGACCUGAGAGGGUGAUCGGCCACACUGGGACUGAGACACGGCCCAGACUCCUACGGGAGGCAGCAGUAGGGAAUCUUCCGCAAUGGACGAAAGUCUGACGGAGCAACGCCGCGUGAGCGAAGAAGGCCUUCGGGUCGUAAAGCUCUGUUGUUAGGGAAGAACAAGUAACGCAGUAACUGGCGUUACCGUGACGGUACCUAACGAGAAAGCCACGGCUAACUACGUGCCAGCAGCCGCGGUAAUACGUAGGUGGCAAGCGUUGUCCGGAAUUAUUGGGCGUAAAGCGCGCGCAGGCGGUUCCUUAAGUCUGAUGUGAGAGCCCACGGCUCAACCGUGGAGGGUCAUUGGAAACUGGGGGACUUGAGUGCAGAAGAGGAGAGC
Molecule: ribosomal RNA, 600 nt
Filed under: uncultured Bacillota bacterium
Lineage: Bacteria; Bacillati; Bacillota
Description: bacterial SSU rRNA
Rfam family: Bacterial small subunit ribosomal RNA
Source: RNAcentral